Molecule: long non-coding RNA, 12828 nt
Organism: Passer domesticus (house sparrow)
Lineage: Eukaryota; Metazoa; Chordata; Aves; Passeriformes; Passeridae
Exons: 14
Source: RefSeq, a predicted model, not a curated record
CUUGCUCCAGGAAGAGGUUUAGGGAUCACUGGUGGGGAGCAAGCCUGUGGCCUCGGGGAGUGCGGCCCUUGUUGUGUCUGAGCCAGAGCCAGGGCUGCUGCUAGAGGCAUGUCUGGAAGUUUCUAAGCCCAGUUCUUCUUUCCCAAGGCUUGUUGGCUUUCCCAUACAAAUUGGAGUGGAUGUAGCCAUGGAUUCAGCUCCUGCCACGUCAGGCUCCUGUAGCUGAUCCUCACCUUGGAGAAGCACGCGCCAAACGAAGCUGUGUGUGCCAGGGACCGCCGGGAACCACGGGAUCAGCUCCCGUGGGAAAGUCACCAAGCUGCCUCUCGUUGGCCUUGGUGUCUCCUCCUUCCCUUCCUGUGGCUGCUGCCCUGUUAAUUGAUUACUGCCCUGUUCAGCCGUUGCUUGUGGAGCUGAAUGCGCCAAGUUAAAGCGCGAGAGCGGAGAAAGGCAGCAGUGAUUCCGAGCGCUGGGCUCGCAUCUGAAAGAUUACAGCACAAUCUAAUGAGCUCAUUAAUUUCAUUUCAUUAACCAAACACUGCUUGUGGAGAAUGGCAAAUAUUUAAAGAAGCGCAGCAGGGUCAGAAACACAUUUAAUUAAUGUUGUCACGUGGUGCUGAGAACAGGAGGGGGGAAUAAAUCCCGAUGCCAUACAUUAACAUCCAUGGUGACUUCUCUUUUAUAUUUAAUGUGCUGCUUGGGUGAAAGGCCUGCCUGGCUCCUGUGAGCACAGUGCCUGAGCAGCUGAGUGUGUUUCCCCUUCCUCCCAGGGUCCAUGGAAGCCAGGCAGUGCCGUUAUCCCAUUUAGAAGGGAAUGCUACAGACAAGAGGAGGGGGCUCCACCAUGGGAUCCAUGGGGGUGAUGCUGGUUCCCUUGUUGUCCUUCUCCUUGCUAGGCCAUGCCUACUGUGAUUAUCACACUAAACUGGUGAUACCCUGAGCUUAUCAGCUUCCUGUUCAGCCAGCUGGGCACUGUGGGUGCCUCAGUGGGAGUGAAAUCCAAAGUGCACAAAAAUGAUAGGGAAGAGAGGGUCAGAUCCUCUCUCAACCCCUUUGAAGUUUGGUGCACUUGGCUGUUAACAACCUCUGUUGUACCAGACACAGAGGUUACAAAGUGGGUUCUCAUCCCCUUCUGCCCCGUCUCUAAGGGAAUUUGGAUCUGAGUUUUUUGGCACAAACUGUCUGCAUAUUUAUUAAUCUGUUGUGGAGGUGGGCUUUGCUAAAAUCUCAUUUUGGUGUGGGGGAGGACAUCUCAUUUGUGGCUCUUCCGUUAGGGCUGCUGUGAGGCAUCAGAGGAAAGCUACAGAUUGCUUUUCUGAUUGUCCUGGUACACUCUGCUUCUUCAGGAAAAUUGAAUUAGGAUGGAUACCUGGAUUGCACCUAAAGGUCUGGGUUUCUCACUGGCAAGUUAUUUCUGUGGUUCCAGUUCAAGGAGCAUCCCAGCUAAAACAAUCUUGGAGAGAAUGGAGCUGGAUUUUUACCCUGGACUCUGGCAGCGCUCUCGUGUUUCUGCAUAUGCUUUGUGACAUAUUGGGAUAAUGGUGGCUCUGCUAAAGGGCCCUACUCUUGAGAGGGCCAGGAGAUGGCCCUAAUUUAUGGUCACCUCGAGGGAGAGCAGUGGCUGAGUGGAGCCUGUGUCCUUGGCUGGCAGCUGAUGGCCCAGGGAGCCCUGGGCCCCGUGCCAGGGUGAGAGAGAUUUCCUGCUCAUGAGCUGAAAGGCAAAGAUUUUUUUUUCCCCUGCUCCAGUAGUGGCACCUUCUGCUGUCAGAAUUGAUGGUUCAGAUUAUCAAGAUACUUCAGGCUUCAAUACUUAUGCUCCCUUAAUUGAGCUCGUUAAUGAAGAGGUGACAACAGAUGGGUCUGGGAGUGAUCUCUGCUGAGCCCACCAGGCACAUCUCCCCUUCCUGACAUGCUGCUGUUUGUCACUUUGCCUGGUUUAUGUUUCCUUUCUCCCUUCCUGAAGCACACGCCUUUUCUCAUGUCCAAGUCAAUUUGAGCAGAGCAUCAGAGUGAUCUUUCCUGGGAUGCUGUGUUUGUAAAGCUGAAAUACAGUUUUCUGCUUCAGCUGGAUGGAAGAAUGGAGCAUGUUGGACUAGGGGAAAGCCUCCAGUCCAUGGCAUGGGGAUUGGGUUUCUCCUCACCAUGAAGAAAUGUGCCCUGGAUCACAGAUGUCCUGCAUCCUCUGACCUGUUCAGGCUUGGAUUUGGGAGGAAAGCAUUCACCAUGGAGGAGAAUUUUGUGUUCAGCUUCUCAACCCUUGGCCUGCAUUGCCUCAAGGUGCUUUGAACUGCUCUGCUGCUGGGAGCACUGGUUGUUCUUAGGAAACAUCAGUGCCUGGUUUGUGUUGGGCAGUGCCUUGGAGUGUGGGGAUGAAGGGAUUUAAACCUUCCCAUGGAUCCAAAGCAGUGUGGGCAGCAGGGAUGGGAUUGGGAUUGUGCCCCUGUGCCCUGCUCAGGUGAGAGCCCAGCUGCAGAGCUGCCCCAGCCCUGGGGCCCAGCACAGGAAGGAGCUGGAGCUGCUGCAGAGAGUCCAGAGGAGGCACCAGGCGCCUGAAGGUACAAGAAAGAUGGAGACUAUUCCCAAGGGCCUGGAGUGACAGGACAAGGAGGAAUGGCUGCAAACGGACAGAAAGGAGCCAUGUGUGACAGUCUGCAGGUGAAUUUGAGGAGAGUUACACCACAAGCACCCAGCUGAGCAUCUCUACCCACCAGCUCAGGGUCUGCCAUUCUGAAUGUUUGAAUCCACAUGAAUCAGACAAGGAGAGGAGCUUGUUACCAUGGCCAGAGUCGAUUCAAAAAGGGUUUGCAAAAAGCCUUGAGGCUGGACAUGCUUGGACUGUGUGCUCCUGAGCUGUAAGAUUUACAUGGGUGUUUUAGGGAAAAAAAAAAAACAUAAAAAAAUUGCUCUGCACUUUCAGUAGAAGUCGGGCUAUGAAUAUCCCAAUCCCACUGCUUCAAACCUCAUGGGAGUAAUCUUCAAGUGGGAAAUCCCAUUAAGUCAUAAAGAGCUCUUAAGUAGUUCCCUCUGAUAAAUUUGUGGCACUCUGCAAGUCCCAUAAUUCCCAAUAUCCAGAUGAGGAAGCUGAGGUUAAGUGACUUAGCCAAGGUCAUGAAGCAAAUCAAUAACCACUCCAGCCCCUCUGCUGCUCACUCCAUGUGUCUCUGCUGUCAGCAAAGGGGAUCAAUCCUCCCCACCCCUGUCCCAGCCCCAGUGAUGGACACCCAGGCUUUGAAAUGUUGGAUUAUGUGGGAAAAAAGAGGCCCAUCUUCAUUCAGAGAGCUGGGCUGGGGGAGCAGUCACGGGGCUCCUUCACCCUCCUUGCACCCAGGGCUCCCUGAGUGGAGACAUCCCCCGACUCCUGCUGUUCUCUGGAAGGAGCUGGAAUUCCCACUGCUGGCACAAACUUCCCAUCAUGAAGUCUGGGAGCAUCUUUGGUGUGGUGACAGAAAAUUGCCUCAUGCAAGAGCUGUUGGCUGUGAGGAGGGUGAGAGUCUCUGUCAGGCUCUGUGGGAGAUUGUUCUUCCUCUUUCCAACUGCUCACCUCUCCCCUUCCAUGCUUCAGCUUCCUUUACUCAUUUCUUGAGCCCAUGGAGGGGGAUGUACCAAGAGUUUGGGGGAGUUUCAGGAGUGGGGAUGUGUGUAUUGGGUCUAAGCUUGCUUCCUGUGGAUGGCUGGUCCCAAGAAAAAGCAUUGUUUUUCCUGGGAUCAGGCAGACUGUAAUUCUGAGACUCUUAGGUUACUAAUUCCAGUUCAUCUGUUUGUUGUCUUCAUCAAGGAAUCCCAGAAUGGUUUGGGACUGUAAAGCUCAUCCAGUUGCACCUCCAGGGACACCUUCCCCCAUCCCAGGGUGCUCCAAGCCCUGUCCAGCCUGGCCUUGGACACUCCCAGGGAUUGAGGGGCAGCCACAGCUUCUCUGGGCACCCUGAGCCAGGGCCUCAUCACCCUCACAGGGAAGGAUUUCUCCUGUCUUUCCAAUCUAAAUCUAUUGUCUCUUCAGUUUAAGGCCAUUACCCCUUUAUCUCUCGUUCCCAGCACAGCCCUCAGGAGUCACACAGGAAUGGGAGAUGCUGGAUGAAGGCAUCUUCUUUCCCAAGCUCCUGACAGUGCCUUGCUUCCCUGUUCUCCUUCAGCUUUUCUGUAGCUAAUUUGGAGCUGUCUGAAUUCCUGGUUCUGCUCUUGCUGCUGUGGUAGCUGCUGCUUGGCUGUCAGGCUCUGUUCCCCCUCCCAGGUAAAAGUACAAAGGCAGAGGGAGUGAGCACAACUGGAAUUUAAGGAUCAACCCACUGUCUCCUGGCUUCCCUGUGCUUCCUGGAGUGGCUCCCACAGCCCUGCUGGAUGCUUCCCCCAGAGGCUGGGCCUGAGAGGUUAAUGAGAAGUUGUUCUCCAUGCCAGGCUCCUGCCUACUUUGCUGUAAGGUCUCUGAAGGGUGGCAUGUGCUUCAUUUAUGUCUCCUUCUUCCUCCUGAUCAGCACUUCUCCAGGUGUUUGGCACUUGCCAGACCUCUGGCAUCCCCACUCCUGCAGGAAAGGUGCUCUUGGGAAUAUUGCAGGUGGAAUGGUCAGGAGGAAGGUCAGCACCAUCCUGGACUAUCUGUCAUGGAUUUACAGCUUUCAGCUCCUCCAGGAAUGCCCUGAACUAAUCCAGAGAGCUGCUCUGUGUCACGGCCCCGGUGCUGAGCUGGCACUGCUGGUGCCUUUCCCAGCAUGGAGAGGGCACUGCCACUGGGAUGAUGGAUGAGAGCUCCUGCAGGGGACAGCUUGGUCCUGGAGCUCCUGGAGGCUCUCCAAGCCUGGCUUUGCAGUUGGCCAAGUGUUCCAUUUGUUUUGAUGCUUUUCAUGUCUUUGGGCAGUUUGCUGUGUUUAUUUUGGGGGGAAGGUCAGCACUCCCACCUGAUACUGGGGGAAUGCUCUGGGAGAGAAGCAUCCCUGGAGACAGCCCUCCUUUCAGCAGCACAUGGCAAAGCUCUGAGACUUCCCUUUCAGUGGGAGGCACAGGAGAUAUUUUGGACUGCAAGCUGUGGCUUUAAAAAAACCCACCCAGUAGUGAUUUGAGGUUUUCUUCUUGAAGCCUUCCUGACUUUGAACAUAAAUUGCAUCUGUUUUGAUAAGCAGGCUACCAGCAAGCCAGACCUGUUCCUGGGAUUACUGUGACCACAGCUACCGCUCCCCUCCUGGCUGUUUGUAGCAGCCAGGGAGGACCUAAUUCUUGUAUCCCAGACCUUAAACCUCAGCCUAACAGCCUCCAAGGGAUUCUCCCUGCUCGGGGUGUUGUUUGUGGGACUGCUGGUGGCUCUGCAGCCUGGAUCCAAGGAGCGUUCCCAUCCCAUCAGCACCAGCUGCCAGCAUCAGGAUCACGGCCACCCAGGGAGCUGGACAUCAUGGAGCUGGACACACACCAGGGUAGGUAAUGGAUGUGACCCCUGAAAUUGGAAAAGCCACCAUGAAAAGUAUGACUCAGCCUGAAGGCUCUGGACUAGCGGAGGGAGACUUUCCCAUUCAGGGGCAAACCAGGAGCCGACUUACUUCUGACACCGAGCUCAGUCUCCAAACACAAAAGAAGAGAAAGUCAGGACAGAAAGGCAUUGGAGCUUUCUUCUUCUUCCACACCUGCUGUUCCCGGUCGUCAGGCACUUCCAAGAGGAGAGUUCUCCAAGUUCCCAGCCAUUACCCUUUACAUAAGCAUAAUAUAGUGCUGCACUUCCUACAGGGAAGCUAUCUAUUGUAGCAAUCUGUAAAACAAAAGCUGGAUUGCUCCUUCUCCCAUUGCUCCCAGAAUCAAAAAGCUGCCUGCUGUUCCUCAAAUGGGAAGGCUGAAAGCCUUCAUCAGAGGGUAGUUCAUUUUUACACGACAUUUUUACACUCAAGCAAAACUGAAAGCAAGGCAUAAUUUGAAACAGCCACGCUCGCCGUUAGAGCAGAACCACACAAAUAAAAUGCCUGGGAUGAUGGAGUUGAAUACAUUGCAGUCAGAAAAAUGACAGUUUGCAGGGAACAAGGAAAACUAGAUGGAUGAAUGGGAAUUAGUGAAGAGCAGACUUCCAAGGCAGACAAAUCAAAUUGAGAGCGUGGAUCAUUAGAUUCAAAGGAAGCAGGUUUUGGUAUCCAGCCUGGAUGACUGUCAGCUAGGACUUUCUGCUCCUGCUUGCCUUCCUUUAGGUGAAGAGGACAAGUGAGGCUCUGGAGAGUACUCCUGGAUGGUAUGGGGAGAUCCUUGGAGCAAUCAUGUAAGAGCACAUGGCUUGUGUGAAUCCUGCCUUCUGAGCCCCUCUCUGUGCAGGACCUGAGCAACGCAAGCAGUGAGGGAAGGGCAGCAGCAGGAGCCUUCUGGGAUGGGGAGCUGCAUAUUCACACCCACUUUUCUCAGCUCUGGUCGUGUGCACACAUUAAAUACAAACACAGAGAGGUUUCAGCACCUCAGGCUUUUGCAGGCUCUCUGCCUACCCAGAAGAUUUGUCCCUCUCAAGAUGAUAUUGAUGGUGGGAAAGGCAAUUUCAAGUAAGCUGCUGCUGGAGUAGCCAUGAGGUGCCUAAUGAGGGUUUGGCUUUGGCCAGGAAGGAAAGGGUUGCAGGCAGCUCGAGAGCAUUCCAAGGGCACUGUCCUGGCUGAAGGCAAGAUCCCGCUGGGCUGCUCCGCUCCAGCGCCUCGCAGGGAGACGUGUCCUUCUGUCCUGGCUUCUGUCCCCACCUGAUGUCCCAGCACGUCGGCACUCUCGGGCACUUGUCACUUCUUAUCUCCGAGGGGGGCUGUUCCUUCCCCCGUGCUCACAGCAGGGGUUGGAUUCGGAGGCAGAAUUCCCGGGAAGAGGUGACACUCGCAAGGUCGAGCUGUCACCCUGUGGCUGGCAGAGCUGCUGGGCUGUGUCUCCGUCCGCAGCAGUCACACCUCUCCUUUUUACCUCUUAAGAGACUGCAAUAAAUUAAUUGAAGAUUAUUAAUUAGAUUAAUUGUAAAACUUCCAUGAAUUGCUGCCUUCUGGAUCCCAGUCUAUAAUUUGCCUUCCAUGGCCAAUUAGAUGGGGCCAGUUAAGGUUUUAUCCUUUUUCAAUAUCAAGAAAUCAUUAUUUUCAUCGCUUGAAAACACAGACUGGGCAGAGCUGGGCUCACCUGCUACAACCUGGACAUACAAAGAAUGCCCCAGAAAAAUGGUUAAUGAAUUCCUCCAGUUCUGCUUUGCUGAGCACAAGGGGCUUUAGGGCUGCAUUUAUUUGCUCUCUGGCCAAAAUCUGCAAAAAGCUUUGCUGAACCUGUGGGUGGGGGGAUCUUGGCUGGGUUUCAUCAGUACCCUCAACUCUGCCCUGACUUUGAAUUGAAUAUUCAAGUUACAGCUGAGCUCAGUAGUGCUGGCUGAAUGGGGGGGAAGAGAGAGGGAGAUUCUCAAACUGUUCUCUCAAUUGGGAAAAAAACAACCUGGAAGUUCUUUAAAAAUGCAAGUCAGUUCUUCUUUUUGAUGCUGCAUAACUGUCUGUGUGGCUGGGAGAAGCAACAGGACUGUAAUUGCAGACCAAACCUCUAUUUCCUCUAAUUGUUCCCAUAACUUGAUUUACUUUGGAAAUACUCGGAGGAUGCUUUUCCUAUUUACUGUCUCUCCUCACUGUUAUCAUUUUCCCUGCCUUGACUGAUGAAGCACAUUCAUAAUUUCUCUCCAUUUGGUGUGGACUCAGGAGCAGUUUGUGCAGAUUAGGAGCUUCUGGCAAAAUGGUUAAUAUUAAUCUAGAACCGAAUGAGUGAUUUAUGGGGGAGAGGCUGUGUGAAACCAAAGACACACCAGAUGAAUCUGGGAUUUCAAAAGCAUGGAGGAAAAUCUGAGUAUAGUGAAGUUCUUCUGUAGAUAGGAAAGGGAAGGUGUUGGGAGGUGAGAGAAGGCAGUGGGAAUGUGUCUUUCUUUGGUCUUUAGACCCUCAAGGCUCUGGUGAAAUACCUCCAGGAGAAUUUUCAAGUGGUUUAAGGGCCUCACUUGGCCAUCCAGACUUAACUAAGGUUGCACGUGGGGUACAGCAUUACCCCCAGCACCCCAACUCACAUGCACAUGUUUGAUCCCUAUAUCUUGGGAUGGCAGGGAAUGCAGACGAAUUUCCAUGGCAUCCUGAGAGGAUGCUGCUACCUGGCUUUUCUCAGCCUCCCUUUUCCUGCCUUCCACACUGUCAGUUUUCUGCCCAUCUCAGGAUCUUUAGGACUGGAUUGCUCCUCCCAGCUCCUGCUCCUGGAGGCAGGCACAAAGCCUUGCUGGCUUUCCACUCAGGUGUGUUCCUUGCUCAGCUGUUUCUUCCCUUCUUUCCCACCUAUUUUCUUAGGACUUCCCGUGGAGCUUGGACACCUGGGCUCAGCUCAGAGCUCCUGUCCUCCCUUGCCCACGUGCUGAGGAGGAAAGGAGGCUGUAACAGCUGCUUUAAUUUCCUCAGGUCUCCCUUCAGCUGCUGCCUCACAGCUCCAAGGGCUCCCACCUCAAUCCUAACUAACCAGUUUUUGGCCAUAACUCCAACUCCAUUCCGGAUCUUAUUUCCCAUGUGCUCUGUGUAAUGUUUUGUCUCUGGACAAUUUUUCCUUUUAAUUUUGCAGUGAAAAUUACCUAAGCUGGCUGAAAGAAGUGUUUCAGAGCUGACUUGUUGAUUGCAAGCCAGAGCUGAGGGCUGCCUUAUAGAGAUGUUUUCUUUGGGAAUAAUCAGCCCGAAGCCGGUCUCGGAGGAGGGUCGCAGAUGAGAGCUAUCAACAGAGGGGUUUAUGGAACACAAGGCUUGCACUUCAAUUUCAAUGCAGAUAAAAUCUGCCAAGUGAAGGGGAUCCUUCCCCUGUCACUUCUGCAGAGAGAGAUUUUAUUAACACCAAUUGCAUGGAAACAGGGGACGGCCACGGUGCCCCCACCGGAGAUAAAAAGACAUUAAUGCACUUAGGCUGUGACAGCAGAGAGCAGCUGGGUUUGGUUUAUGUUCUCUGGACCCCAGGGGCACUUCUGCAUGAGCAAGGGCGGGACUUUGGGGCUGAGUUCAAUGGCUGAUCCCUUCAGCAGAAAUAUCAGGUGGAAAGGCUGGGAAGGAGCAGGAGCAGCUGGGGAUGCAGAGUGUGGGUGGCAAGGUUUCGAGUGGCCCCAGCUCUGUGGCAGUGUGGGUAAGGUGUGAGACCUCAGGAUCGCUGGAAAUGGGAUGUUGAGUCCGAGGAUGGACAGGUGAUUGUGGGAAAAUCCUGCCUGGAUGCUGUGGUGGCUGGGUGCUGGCACCCCAAACCUUGGGAGCGUGUGUGGGGUUGUUCCUACUGCUCAUCCCCCUGGGCUCCAGUCAUGAUCACGGGUUGUGUAUCCCAGUUUUCUCUUUCCAACAGAGUCAUUUUCACUGUCUCAUUAGUGUUGGACCUGGAGCUGAGCUUUAGCCUGACCCACACAAUGGAUAUGGGAAGCUUUGGGAAAGGAUUGUCCUUGAUAUUCAUAUCAAAAACAUAUCCAAGUCCUGCCCCCAUGGUAGUUCCUCUUACAGGAUCCCUGAGCAGGAGAAAGGCUGUGGCCCAUUUCCAGGCCCGGUGCCCUAGUCCUCCACUGGGUGUGGUUUUGCUGAGGCUUCCCUUUGCCAUCUCAAUCCCAACUCCCCUCAUUCCAUGGGGCAGAGUUUUAAAGCCCCACUGCACACACUGCUCCUGCCUGGCACGGCUGACUCUGAGGAUGGAUGGAUGGAUGGAUGGAUGGAUGGAUGGAUGGAUGGAUGGAUGGAUGGAUGGAUGGAUGGAUGGAUCUCCCAGUUCUGGGCAGGAAAUAGACUACACCCCCUGGCUGGCUGCCUGACUGAUCAGCACAUCUCCUUCAAUCAAACAGACUAUUCUGAUGAGCCUGCAGUCAGUUCCCUGCGUUUUGGAGCUCCUAGAUCCUGCUGAUGGGGGUGGAAGCUGCUGCUGGAAAAGCUUUCUCCUUCUUGGUCAUCUAAUUUGGAGCUUUCCAAUAAAUAGGCUGCUCGACAUUUUUUGAUAUAAAGGUCAACAUCGUCUGGUAGACUCGAGGACUUUAAGAUAAGUGGAGGAAAUGGCAUGGGUAGGCUGAUUUGAUAAUGAUCCUAAUCCUGUGUCUGAUCUCUGAUAAUGAUGGUAACCCCAUCAAUGUAUGUUCAUGUCACUGUAAAAUGGAGCUCAGAUAAUUUUUUUGGCAGAACUGAUGCCUCUUAGCACAGACUAGCUUUGCUGGAGUCUUUAACUUGUUGCAAGAGCUGCCACACAGAAUGCAGAAAAGGAAGCUUAAAUUGUUUUUAGGAAAAAAAUCAAUCAGAGCAAGUGUUUUUGGCUAAAUAAGGUCUCAGUCUCCUGAGUCAGCUUUCCCAAAGCUGUUGGUGUUUGCUGAUGAAUUACUGUGGUGAUGAACACACAGCUGACACACCAGCCAAAGCGCAGUUAUGGGUGGAGACUCAUUUCAGAAAACACCUUUAAAUUCCACCAAUCCUUUUAUUCAGGCCAGACCAGGACAAGGACUACCCUUUUUUGGUAUUACUGAGGAAGCUCUGGGCUUUGGGAAAGGUGAGAAGUGGUUUAGCACAGGGAUUCCCUCCAUCCCUCCAGGCUGUGGGGAACAGAUACUGAAGCAUCUUUCAUGGUGUGUGUGUAGGAGAUGUUUUCUGGCCAUUGUGUGGUUUUUAGGAGUGCUGAAAGGAGAGCAGAAGGAAGUUUAGGAGGAAGUUCUGCCUCUGUAGACCCUGGCAGUGCUAUGUCAGUGAGAUGUUGCACAGCACACACAGGGCUGAUGUCCAGAGAGAAAUACAAUUCCACUUGGAAUUCCUCAGAGGACUCUCACAGCAGAGCUCUGCAGCAUCCAGGGAUAUCUGGGGAGAUCAGAGCUGCCAGGGCCUGGUUUCCAACAUGCCCUUCUGCUUUGCUGUCUCUUGUGAAUGCUACCUAGAGUUUUCCCAAGUUAGGAAUAAGUUAAUUACAUGGUUCUCUUUCCCUGAAGGACCCCAACACCUGGAUUACAUUUUGCUCCCAGAUUUCUGGUUUCUAAUCUGUUAUAUGGCACCAAUUCUCAGGCAACCAUAGACCCAGGGAACUUGCAUUUCUCUUGUCCCCUGAAAUGCCUGGUUGUUUUCUGACUGCAGAGCUCCCUGUGUGACGUUCUCCUAACAAGGAGAACGUCCUGGGGCUGCUUUCCCCUCAAUACAAUUUGUGUCUGGAGGUUGUGACUGCCUCCCACGGUCCCACAGCCUUUUUCUCUUUGGCCUCUGAUCUCUGGCAGGCCUGUGCUGAGAGCUGAUUGCCAUCUCUCCUCAGGUGGAUCACUUACUGCUCUGUAACUGGCUCAAGCCAAGGGGCUGGAGAUAUUGGAUUCCUUUGAUAAGGUGCCAAAGUGACACACUGAUAUCUGAGCCAAAGCUCUGAGUAAAUGCUUUUCCCAUCUCACACCACGGUAGACUCCCAAAUCCCAGUAGAAGCAACUGCUUUCUAUUACUCAGCUGUUUGCUAGCAGGAAUUAUCUGCCCUAGCAGGAGAUAGUUUGUGCUCUCUGUGUUUGUUAGGCUCCUGCUAUCGCUCACUCCCGGUAGAGAGAGGCAUAAAAUUCCUUCCAGGUGACUUUUGCAGCAAAAAAUCAAUUGUUUAUCAACAUCCUGGCAAUCAAUGGAUGCAGUGAUAGGUGCAACUGUCUCUAUUGGAGCUGAACCUUGAUUGCUGAGAGACCAGAGCUGCUGCUAAAUCCACCUGGGCCCGAAGCUGGGCUGGAGCUGCGGGGCCAAAGCCUGGAGCAGAUCCUUGGAGAGUUCCCUGCUGCUGUGCUGAGCCCUUCCCCUCCUCGGGAUGUUGGUGCUGAUUGCUCUUGUGCUGAUUCUCUGUGGGCUGUGCUCUGCAGAGGGCUCUGGAGCUGUCCAUGCACACCUGGCCCCUCAGAGCCAGGGGCUGUGCUCUCUGGUGCUUCACUGAAGAGAUGAACCACAAAGUGCUCACCCCAGAGGAAUUCAUCACUGUUUUAUGUGUCUGUCCAUCUUCACUAAGCCUUUUGCUGAAGAACCCUGUGUUAUAUUUUGUUCCCAGAUUCUCUUGGCAUCCGGCCUUGGUGGCCAGAAGGCAGGCCUGGGGGAAAUCUCUCACAGGGGCUGGGUGUUCCUGCUGUGACUGGUGAUAAACUUGCUUUCAGCUGCACUGGUGAAAAGGCCAGCUUGGAGCAGCCUGGUCUUGUGGAAAGUGUUCCUGCCUUUGGGAACUGGAUGAUUUUUAAGGACCUUUCCAACCCAGCCCUUUCAUGAUUUUGUGAGGAGCAUCUCCUUCCUUCUGUGCUACUCCUGCCCAGCUGGUUCCUUUCCCUGGGACACCUGCAGCCUUUCCCUCUUGCUUGAAGCUGUUAAUUGAUGUCUCAUUAAACGAGACAACUUAAAGACUUCCCUAUCUGCAGAGCAUUCCUGAGCCUGAGCUUUCCCAGAGCCAGAGUUCUUCCUGAGCCAGAGCUCCAGGAGCGUUUGGACAACGCUCUCAGGGACAGGAUGGGGUUGUUGGGAUGUCUCUGCAGGGCCAGGAUAAUGCUUGUGUGUCCCUUACAAGUCAGGAGAUUGACUCUGUCAUCCAGUUUUGAGGUGUCCAUGUGGCCAAGGUAUCCCUUCACGAAGAAAUAUGGAUAGGAGUGGAAGAGUUAACAUCAGCAGCUCCCAGACACGCUGGAGAGUUACAUCAUGUUGCUGUGGAAACUAACUUUGUGAAAGCACAGUGAUGUAUGGGAAAGCUUUGGGUCAGCGGGUAAUAAAUUCUGUUUAAAAAGUGAUUUUUUCCCCAUCUGCUGAUGUAAACAUCAUUAAGAGAAAUGACGGCUGAGAGAUGGAUUUCUUUUUAUAUCAAUUUUCAGACAAAGAAAAUAAUUUUUUUUUAUAAUAAAAAAGUUGCUGGAAA